RNAcentral lists this ribosomal RNA (365 nucleotides) under uncultured bacterium. RNAcentral's name for it is "bacterial SSU rRNA". It matches the Rfam family "Bacterial small subunit ribosomal RNA", at positions 29 to 416 of the family's 1533-position model. The record is from RNAcentral.
AGCGAACGCUGGCGGCAGGCUUAACACAUGCAAGUCGAGCGGGCGUAGCAAUACGUCAGCGGCAGACGGGUGAGUAACGCGUGGGAACAUACCUUUUGGUUCGGAACAACACAGGGGAAACUUGUGCUAAAUACCGGAUAAGCCCUUACGGGGAAAGAUUUAUCGCCGAAAGAUUGGCCCGCGUCUGAUUAGCUAGUUGGUGAGGUAAUGGCUCACCAAGGCGACGAUCAGUAGCUGGUCUGAGAGGAUGAUCAGCCACAUUGGGACUGAGACACGGCCCAAACUCCUACGGGAGGCAGCAGUGGGGAAUAUUGGACAAUGGGCGCAAGCCUGAUCCAGCCAUGCCGCCGUGAGUGAUGAAGGCC